RNAcentral lists this ribosomal RNA (484 nucleotides) under uncultured bacterium. RNAcentral describes it as "partial 16S ribosomal RNA". It matches the Rfam family "Bacterial small subunit ribosomal RNA", at positions 30 to 507 of the family's 1533-position model. The record is from RNAcentral.
AUUGAACGCUGGCGGCAGGCCUAACACAUGCAAGUCGAGCGGAUGAAGGGAGCUUGCUCCUGGAUUCAGCGGCGGACGGGUGAGUAAUGCCUAGGAAUCUGCCUGGUAGUGGGGGAUAACGUCCGGAAACGGGCGCUAAUACCGCAUACGUCCCGAGGGAGAAAGUGGGGGAUCUUCGGACCUCACGCUAUCAGAUGAGCCUAGGUCGGAUUAGCUAGUUGGUGGGGUAAAGGCCUACCAAGGCGACGAUCCGUAACUGGUCUGAGAGGAUGAUCAGUCACACUGGAACUGAGACACGGUCCAGACUCCUACGGGAGGCAGCAGUGGGGAAUAUUGGACAAUGGGCGAAAGCCUGAUCCAGCCAUGCCGCGUGUGUGAAGAAGGUCUUCGGAUUGUAAAGCACUUUAAGUUGGGAGGAAGGGCAGUAAGUUAAUACCUUGCUGUUUUGACGUUACCAACAGAAUAAGCACCGGCUAACUUCGUG